RNAcentral lists this small RNA (2061 nucleotides) under Rattus norvegicus (Norway rat). RNAcentral describes it as "uncharacterized LOC102554685". The record is from RNAcentral. Lineage: Eukaryota; Metazoa; Chordata; Mammalia; Rodentia; Muridae.
UUAAAUACCUGUGGGGCGGGAAGUCGGGCGGAGUCUAAAGGCCAGGGCGCUGCCGCCCCGGAGUAGGAAAGGGCCGAGAGUAAGGCCAGGGACUAUCAGAGCCUGAGUCUCCACCCAUAGCAAAUGGCAUCUGUACUGGAAGCCUCUGCAUAUUAGUGCAGGGCGGGGAUGGAUAGAUGAAUGAAGGCAACGCUGAUAUGACAAGAUAUAGAAGAGCAGAAGGCAAGAAGGGGAUGCAGCUCAGUGACUUCUGGUAGGCGACUUUUGGCUUCAAAACCCUGAAAACUGUGUCCUAGACCACCCCGACACUACCAUUUUCUGAACAUCUUCCCAUAAAGAAUAAUGAAUAUUGAACACCAGGAUACCAAAAAAGCUCAUCUAAUCUACUCAAGUAUCACUGUGUACUCUGUUUCAAGAUGCAAAUGAAGUGGGGAUUUUCCUAUGCUGGACAGAGUGUACAGUUACCUGGCCAUGAGGUCUUGGGUCAUUGCUGAAGGGAGAUUCAUGAGGAUGCCAGACUUAAGGAAUGCCUGGCCAGCAAAAGGCCUGAGUAAAUGAGAAAAGAACCAAAGUAAUUAAGAUUCUUGAGCUGAAGGGGAUUGUAACCCCAUAGGAAAAACAACAGUAUCAACUAACCUGACCACCAGAGCGUCCAGAGAUUAAACUAACAACAAAAGAGUACACGUGGAGAAUUAUCCUACUGAAUAGACCAUGAGCUACUUGGAGACAGAAUUGGAGAAGAUACAGUCUCUGGUCUCAGUAUGGAUGUGUAAGCAGGUGAAAUACGUUAUGACAUUUCCCUGUCUAAUUCUUCGCUGGAGUACACAAGAAUCUGCAUACUUUGGCCUGUGGCUUGGGACUUCAGAUCCACGUCUUUAAGACCUGGUGAGCCAGCCAGAAGAAAGAGCUGAAGGUGCCCCAUGGCCAGAUCCAAGUGUAUGCCUGGACUCUCUUCUGCUUCUCCAUAUUGGGAUAUAAGUCCAGCAAAAGAAGUAACCAUUGGCCAAGGACAGAUGCCGAGACCAUCAUUAAAAUUGAGAAGCAGCGCUGGAGAGAUGAUUCAGCAGUUAAGAGCACUUGCUGUUCUUACAAAGGGCCUGUCUGGAUUUCAUUCCCGGUGCCCACAUGGAAGCUCACAGUUGUCUGUAAUUCCAGUUCCAAGGAAUCUGUCACACUCUUCUGACUUCCUUGGGCACAAGCAUACACGAGAUGUAUACUCAUAUGUAGGCAAAAUAUUCAUACACAUAUGACAAAAUAAAUCUAAAAUAUUGACAUAGAUUUAGAGUUUUAGUAUUUUAAUCAAAUAUUCAUUUAGAUGAGUUUAUCAUACACCUUCAAGGUGCAUCAGUUGCAAGGUACUUAAGUUUCAAAUUGUAGCAUCACUCCAAAUAAAGCUGAGAUUAUGCCACUCCAAACUCAAAUUUAAGUGAACAACUGUAUGCAUUUCAACAUGUUGGCUAAACAUGCCCUGUGAAAAGUGAAAAUAUGUAGCCCAGUUUUUCGAUCUGGAACCAGAAUUUGAAAACCAAUUUCAAGAUUUCCAGGAAAAGUAAUUAAUAUUUUAAUAUAUUUGCAACUCCAUUUUAAGCUCACAGAAAUAUGCCAAAUACCAAUUUUCAAGCAGAAUGCACAGAGAUGCAAUCUGACAUUUAACCUAAGGAUAAACUUGGUUAGGUCUCUUUACUCAGCUUGCCUGGAUCCUGUCUCUUCAGACACAAUUAUCCCGCCAUUCCCAGUCACAGUCUGUUCACGUCAUCACUGGUUGGCAGCUCUUUCAUUUGUGAGCAAGUAUGGAACCAGGUUAUCCUUGAACUCAGUGGUAGGCCUUGCUCUGCAGGGAUUAAAGGCGAGUGCCACCGUGGCCCAGCUGGGCAAGUAUGUUUGAGAAUGAGGCACAUGUAGUAAAAUUAGAACCCAGACACUUGACAAGCACCUGCCAGCAUGCUCAGAAUCACGAUUAUUCUUCCAUGGAAGCAGCUAUUGACACAUUAGAUCCCAAGAGAGAUACCAGAUUGUGGCCAUCUUUGUUUUACUUAAUUAAAAAUAGUUUUGAAAAAUGAA